UGAAUGAUAAUGACUAUUGUUUUUAUUCGUUCUGAUGACAUUUGGUGACGGAAAUACAAUCAGCCAGUGCUUUUUGUUUCAAUUUUGUGCGUGCACGUAAAUAUUUUGUUCAAAAACAAACUCUUUGGAUUUUAUUAAGACAUUAAAUUGCGUAGGCGUUUGACAGUCGAUAUCGCUUAUCACUUGAGUGAUUGAAGUUAAUUGAAAUGGACCAUUCCGCAAAUAGAUCACAGAUCGAAUGGUGGCUUGGCGUAGAACAUGAACGAACAAUACCAUCUUGUCAUACUUAAUGGGGGUGUUUAAAUAUGUGGGAGUUCGCCAUAAUAUUUCGUCACAUUCUGGGGAGUCUGCCGGGGAGAGUUGUUGCGCCGUUUCUUCUCUCACAGAAAAAGCACUUAGGAAGCAGUGAUGGAUAAACACUCGAAGUCGACAUCAACAAUUGUAAGUCGAGGGCAAAUGUUGAUUUAACCCUUGCGUGGAUCCAAUUUGCGGCCAAAAAUAACCCGCGG
This is a long non-coding RNA of Trichoplusia ni (cabbage looper), 509 nucleotides long. RefSeq lists it as uncharacterized. The record is from RefSeq and is a predicted model, not a curated record. The transcript is spliced from 3 exons. Lineage: Eukaryota; Metazoa; Arthropoda; Insecta; Lepidoptera; Noctuidae.